Molecule: long non-coding RNA, 1771 nt
Filed under: Homo sapiens (human)
Lineage: Eukaryota; Metazoa; Chordata; Mammalia; Primates; Hominidae
Description: non-protein coding LINC01934:18
Source: RNAcentral
UUAGUAUUCAGAGAAUGACCUGAACUUAGCUGUGUUAAGUUGCCUGCUCCACAGGAAACCACCUCUGUAACUGUUGCUUGCUGCUUUCUCUUUAGGCAACACCCAAAGCCACUGUCAGAUGUCAUGGAGAUGAGACCUCACAAGCCUACUCAACGUGAAGAUGAUGAGAAUGAAGACCUUUAUGAUGAUCUGCUUCCACUUAAAGAAUAAACCCUGAGGUAUCAUGAAGAAAUCCAUAUGCCCUGAAGUUACCAUCCUAGAGACAUCAUUUGGAGAGACUACAGUGCACAGAAGUAGAGAGGCCCAGCUGUGCCUGUCCCCAACUGAUGGAGUCUUCUCAGUGUCAGUCACCAGACAUUUGACUGCAGGUAACUGAAACUGCGGAAAGUGAAACUGCAGAUAAGAGGGACCACUGUAAAUAAGUGACAUGAAUGAUACUGCAAAGGACCAUAGCCUAACCAGCCAAGCAAACUGGAAGUACCUUUAGACUCACGCUUUGCCAAGCUCAGUUCCAGAAUCACAUGAUGAAAAGAAUGAUGGAAAGAAAAUGUUUGUGAUAUUAAAAUUAAGGAAAUUACUCCAACUCAGAGUUUCAUCCUAAACUGAGAGACCAACAUCAAAAGAAUCUUCUCAAGUUUCUGAGUGACGGCAAGAAACUAGACUACUGUUACCAAGGAACUUUUUAAAGCAAACUGCUUUUGCUGAUAUGAGGAGAAAGUUAAUUAAUAAGAAAAUACCUUAAAUGUGUUUUGAAGCUGUUAAAGGUGUGUAACAAUUACUCUGAAUUUAUUAUAGCACCAGUUAGAGACCCAGGAAAACUAUAAAAUUGCACAUCAGGGCAGAGCUGAGAGACGACAUCUGCUUUGGGAUUGAAAAAAAAAAAAAAAAAAAAAAAAACAGAAAGGGAACAAGAGAAAUAGCAAGUCAUUUAACAUUUGGAAUUCAGGACUCCAGACUCAUCUAUAGGACCAAACUGCUCUUGAAAUAUACUAGAUUUCCUUUAGCUCCAGAGGUUUUGCCUUCAUCAAAUGCCUGUAACACUCUUAUUGUCAAAAGGAAUAAGUGAUGGUGAACACUGUGCCAGAUAGGAGGUACCACACACAGGUUCAGCAAAAAGCAGAAGCAAGAGGUAUAUUUUUUGUUAGAUCUUAGUUCAUCCCUAUGUAACAGACAUUUCAGGGAAGGGAGGAGAAAAUAACAAAGCUACCUAUGAGCAAAGGUAAAUGGGAUUCCCUAUCCUUGUUUCCCAGUUUCGGUCAUGGUAUUGCUUAUCCAUUAUUAGUUAUCCACUGCUGGGUAACAAAUUACUCCCAAACUUAGCAGCUUCAAACAACAAUAAACAUGUAUUAUGUCACAUAGUUUGUUUCAGAACUUUGGGAGUGGCUUAGCUGAAUGGUUGUAGCUCCAGGUGCUUUUUGUGGUUGCAGUCAAGAAGUCAGCCCAUUCACACAGCUGCAGACAAAAGGACUCGGUUCCUUGCAGGCUGAGGCCUGAUUAGGCAGGGGGCCUGAGUGUCUCGCCACAUGGACCUCUCCAUAGGGCUGCUUUUCGUGGCAUGGCAGCUGACUCCCCUCAGAACAGAUGAUCAAAAGCAGCAAAAGAGAAGCCUCACAUGACUUUUGCCCUAGCCUUGGGAAUCACACUCUUCCAUUUCUACAAAAUCCUAUUGGUUACAUAGCAGCCCUAUCCAGUGUGGGAGGGAACUGUAUACAGGCAUGAAUACCAGGAGUGGAAAACCACUAGAGACUGGCUACCAUGGUCACUUACACAC